This 484-nucleotide ribosomal RNA is filed under the name uncultured bacterium. RNAcentral's name for it is "partial 16S ribosomal RNA". It matches the Rfam family "Bacterial small subunit ribosomal RNA", at positions 30 to 507 of the family's 1533-position model. The record is from RNAcentral.
AUUGAACGCUGGCGGCAGGCCUAACACAUGCAAGUCGAGCGGAUGAAGGGAGCUUGCUCCUGGAUUCAGCGGCGGACGGGUGAGUAAUGCCUAGGAAUCUGCCUGGUAGUGGGGGAUAACGUCCGGAAACGGGCGCUAAUACCGCAUACGUCCUGAGGGAGAAAGUGGGGGAUCUUCGGACCUCACGCUAUCAGAUGAGCUUAGGUCGGAUUGGCUAGUUGGUGGGGUAAAGGCCUACCAAGGCGACGAUCCGUAACUGGUCUGAGAGGAUGAUCAGUCACACUGGAACUGAGACACGGUCCAGACUCCUACGGGAGGCAGCAGUGGGGAAUAUUGGACAAUGGGCGAAAGCCUGAUCCAGCCAUGCCGCGUGUGUGAAGAAGGUCUUCGGAUUGUAAAGCACUUUAAGUUGGGAGGAAGGGCAGUAAGUUAAUACCUUGCUGUUUUGACGUUACCAACAGAAUAAGCACCGGCUAACUUCGUG